AGUGGGGGAUAUUGCACAAUGGGGGAAACCCUGAUGCAGCGAUGCCGCGUGAGGGAAGAAGGUUUUCGGAGUUGUAAACCUCUGUCUGCCGGGACGAUAAUGACGGUACCCGUCAAGGAAGCCACGGCUAACUACGUGCC
RNAcentral lists this ribosomal RNA (140 nucleotides) under uncultured bacterium. RNAcentral describes it as "partial 16S rRNA". It matches the Rfam family "Bacterial small subunit ribosomal RNA", at positions 353 to 509 of the family's 1533-position model. The record is from RNAcentral.